AGGGAGGGGGGAGGCGGAGUCCGGGAGAGCCCGGAGCGGGCACGGGGCCCGCCCGUCUCCCCGCGGGCCCGCCCGUCCCGACCCCUUCGGACGGACGGGCGACCCCCCAUGCGGUCUUUAAACCUCCGCGCCGGAACGCGAUACUAGGUACCUGGACACGGGGGGAACGGACGGACGCGCGGGAGGCGGAGGGGGGAACGCCGGCGGCAGGACGCCGGCGGCGGGCGGGCAG
Long non-coding RNA from Perognathus longimembris pacificus (Pacific pocket mouse), 232 nucleotides. RefSeq lists it as uncharacterized. Lineage: Eukaryota; Metazoa; Chordata; Mammalia; Rodentia; Heteromyidae. The record is from RefSeq and is a predicted model, not a curated record. The transcript has 3 exons.